AUGCUCGCUUGGGCAGCACAUAUACUAGAAGUGGAAUGAAACAGAGAUUAGUGUGGGCCCGGCGCAAGGAUGACCCGAAAAUGAGCCAAUCUGAUAGGAGUGUA
Vulpes vulpes (red fox) is the source of this 104-nucleotide small nuclear RNA. The record is from Ensembl. Lineage: Eukaryota; Metazoa; Chordata; Mammalia; Carnivora; Canidae.